AGAGGCUGAGGCGGUGCUAGCGCCUGGGCGGCCACGGUAGCAGGCACCGCGUGCGUGGCGGGGUGAAGGCAGCCGGCGGCCGCCCCCCGCCCCCGCCCCCGCCGGCAGCAAGUUUCGGGCAGUUCGGGAUUUUUGGUGGAGGAAUGGCCUAAGGCAGGGAAUGGAGUUACACUACUUUUUACUGAUGAUAACAUUUUAUUUCUGCAAGGAGUAUCACACAUGAUGCUACCAUGAUUGAGGGACUACAACUCAGCAAACUGACAUCCAGCUGUUUGAUCUCCAGGGUCUUGCCCAGGCGGCCACCCACGGCCUCCUCAAGCGCCGCUUUCUUGGCCAGGUUCCGCAUGGUGGCGUACACUGCAACACAGCAGGAGCAUCAGUCACCGGCAGCACCGCCGCACUGAAGGUCGCCUUCUGGGCAGCGGCAAAGAACACCGCUUUCACAUCUGCAUCUUAAAUACCUCAGUACAACCCAAAUAAAAGCUUCACGUAGGAGGAAUGUACUUUCAACAUAUAAAUACCGUCAGUCGCUGAUUUCCCAGAAUCUGGUUCUGAAACCUCCAAGGAAUGUAAAGGAGAAUGAGACCGCUACGUACAAUGUGGAACUUGCAGCAUAUGCGAAUAACAUUAUCACCAAAACUUUUGAUGACGGGUGCCAAAGUUAGGCUGCUGAAUCAUUUUUUGGGAUGUAAAGAUCAAUUUCAGAUUCCAUAUGUAUUUUUUAAAUCACAGCCAACAUGUUCAGCAGAUCAAUUGUAAUUUUAUGAGAAAGUGGAAGACAGCGGCUUCCUCCAGAUAUGAAAGUGUUUAUUUUUGUAAGGUACUUAUCAAAAUAGAAGUUAUCUUUAUUGUUAUUCUGACCUAAUUACCCUGACAUCUAUGAAGCUGCAUCCAAUCUCUUGGCAGUAAAACACAGAAUAAUUGUGAAGGAACUGAAUUUCCACACACGCUGUAUUUGUUAUGUUAUCCAUUUUUAGUCAUAGCAAAUAUCCCAUUUUAGGGCAAAUAAGUCCCAACCCUUUUGAUCAGCCUCAUUUGCCUAGGUGGCAUUGGAAUAAUGAA
Molecule: long non-coding RNA, 1062 nt
Organism: Rhea pennata
Lineage: Eukaryota; Metazoa; Chordata; Aves; Rheiformes; Rheidae
Exons: 3
Source: RefSeq, a predicted model, not a curated record